UUCAGCGCUCACGGAUAGAGGUUUGCUCCGAGUUUAAGUAGCGCUUCCUUGCUUUAUUCGCAUACUUACAAUAAAGUGAAAAUUUCGACAGCAAAUACUGUAGAAGCAUUUUGCUGCCCAUGAAAAUUCGACCCGUGUUGGUGGGUCGUAAAAAAACUACUAGGAAUAUCGAAGGGGUCAGUGUCUAAGUAUUUGUACUUCUGGAGCUGAACAGUCGGAACGUUAUUUGUGACUUAGUGAACUGCUACAGUCGAUGAUCUAUACGAUUGUGUUUACUUUAUGAUUGCCAUUGUGUUUACAAAAAAUUCCGAACAAAUGUGCAUAAGGACGAGUUUUAAAUGAACGAACAUUCACAUUUUAUCGUCACAUAGUUUAGUGAUUUCGAAGAUUUCAAUCUUGUAUUACUCUUGUGUAUAAAAUGUCAACAAUGAUUGAAAGUUGAGUAACAUAGUCGCAAAUUUAAAUCCUCUCCGGUCCAUAGAAUGGUAGCAUUCUAAGAUCCGAAUUUCGGUCUUGGCUAUUCUGUGAGAAGAAAAACAAUAAGCAGAAAUUGCUUUAAUGCUGUAAAUACUUGAACUGAAUAGUUCAACAAUUGUUGGUAAAAAAUGGCUCUACAUAGUGUUCCACCAAAGCGAAAAGAAAUUUACAAAUAUGAAGCACCGUGGCCACUUUACAGUAUGAACUGGUCGGUGCGCCCCGACAAAAGAUUUCGUCUAGCAUUAGGCAGCUUCGUUGAAGAAUAUAACAACAAAGUACAGAUUGUUUCGCUCGAUGAGGAAACUUCCGAGUUUACUGCCAAAAGUACCUUCGAUCAUCCCUAUCCAACGACCAAAAUAAUGUGGAUACCUGACGCCAAGUCUCUGUUUCCUGAUUUGCUGGCCACAUCUGGAGAUUACCUGCGGGUUUGGCGUGCAAUAGACGCAGAAACACGACUGGAGUGUGUACUGAAUAAUAACAAAAAUUCGGAUUUUUGUGCACCCCUCACAUCAUUCGACUGGAAUGAAGUGGAUCCAAAUUUAGUUGGAACAUCAAGUAUUGAUACAACUUGCACAAUAUGGGGCUUAGAAACUGGGCAGGUAGUUGGGAGAAUUAGUGUGGUCGCUGGUCACGUUAAAACACAAUUGAUUGCUCAUGACAAGGAGGUCUAUGAUAUUGCAUUCAGUCGAGCAGGCGGAGGAAGAGAUAUGUUUGCAUCGGUAGGAGCUGACGGGUCUGUGAGAAUGUUUGAUUUGCGCCACUUGGAACAUUCUACAAUUAUAUAUGAAGAUCCUCAGCAUACGCCACUGUUGCGCCUUGCCUGGAACAAACAAGAUCCAAAUUAUUUAGCCACCGUUGCCAUGGAUGCGUGCGAAGUAAUUAUUUUGGAUGUUCGAGUUCCUUGCACACCAGUCGCUAGGCUAAAUAACCACAGAGCAAGCGUAAAUGGAAUAGCUUGGGCGCCGCAUUCAAGUUGUCAUAUCUGUACGGCUGGUGAUGAUCACCAAGCACUAAUUUGGGACAUUCAGCAGAUGCCAAGAGCCAUAGAAGAUCCAAUUCUUGCGUACACAGCUGCAGAAGGUGAAGUUAAUCAGAUCCAAUGGGGUGCAACACAACCGGAUUGGAUUGCAAUCUGUUACAAUAAGUCUGCUGAAAUCCUACGAGUCUAGAUUCAAUGAUCUGGGGCUUGAGUUGAGAGAACGUGUCUCACAUGUGCCACGGAUAUCUUUAGACCGGUCACACGUCUGGUGCGCACAAUCACGUGCUGCAGGAUUUACGUGGGAUUAUCUCAUCGCGUCGCGCCCAAAACGUGGUUUGAUUAUUUCAGGAAUGUGCUUCCCCAUGUGCACAUACUUGACGGUGUGACGCACACUCGGACGUGAGAACUGUGCGUGUAUGGUCCCGUAUCUCGUCUGCAGCUGCAAGGGUGUACGUGCAGAAGGUCAGGCUUCAUGGGUGGAAAUAACUAAACGAUGACGUUUCUAAAUUCCCAUACUGGGUCCUCCUGGCAUUAGCCUGCAUUUCGAUGUCAUUCUUGCGGGGAUUUCCAGAAACGAGGAGCGUAAAGCUGGGGCAGUACCAUUUCAAGAAGAUCACGAAUCAGACUAGGCUUGUUGUGAGCUGCAGAAUUGAAAGCUACGAGAGCUACUCUUCGAACAUUCAAGUCUGGAUCUUCCAACGCAACCAAGAAAUGUCCC
Molecule: unclassified non-coding RNA, 2174 nt
Filed under: Neodiprion lecontei (redheaded pine sawfly)
Lineage: Eukaryota; Metazoa; Arthropoda; Insecta; Hymenoptera; Diprionidae
Description: dDB1- and CUL4-associated factor 7, transcript variant X3
Source: RNAcentral